CACCAGGUCUGUAACUGGAUGGGAUCAUGUGGAAGGUGCCUAGAAGACUUCCCUCCCUGGGAGGCAAUAUUUCCUGUGUCAAGAUUCCCACCCCUCCACACCCCGCUCAUUUUUAAAAAAAUUAUCCUUAUUGGGCUGUACCGGGUCUUAGUUGGCGCACGCAGGAUCUUUGAUCUUCACUGAGGCAUGAGGGAUCUUCCAGUUGUGGCUCGUGGGAUCUAGUUCCCUGACCAGGGAUGGAACCCAGGCCUCCUGCAUUGGGAAUGUGGAGUCUGAGCCACUGGACCACCAGGGAAGCCCCAAGCAUUGCUGUUGUCAUUUAGUUAUUAAUUUGUGUCCAACUCUUUGUUAACUCACAGAUUGUAACCCGCCAGGUUCCUCUGUUUGUGGGAUUUCCCAGGCAAGAUAUUGGAGUGUGUUGCCAUUUCUUUCUCCAGGGGAUCUUCUCGAUCCAGGAAUCGAGCCUGCAUCUCCUGCUUUGCAGGCGGAUUCUUUACCACUGAGCCACCAGGGAAGCAUUGUCCUCUUGUAAAAAUACAAGUAUGACCUGUUGAAGAUGGAUGGGAAAUAGUGGGAAGUGGGAUGAAAAUUUGAAUCUCUGAUGUCUUAGUGAAAAAUAUCUGAUAAAAUCAGUGUUUAUUUUUCUGUUGCAGAAGAAGCUGGGGCAGCAGCAUGAAUGUGUUGGAAGAUUGGAGGCCACUGAUGCUGAAAAAAGGAGAAAAGAGGGAGGGAGCUUCCUGCAGACAAGUCACCUUGCUCAUAUCAGCCAGGCCAGCGGCUCCGAGUGUCAGAACUUCCAUUCGCAGCCAGCAAAUGAACAGCCGGGCCCUGCAUGCUAAUGACGUCCAGGCUAUUUUGCACCUUUUCAUCCGCACAUUAUGCUCUUGACUCUGGAGAAGGUGGGAAUUAGGCCGGACCCCGGUGUCAGACUGCCUGACGGCUCGGCUCCGGAAAACUGGUAAUUGAAGCUGAUGAGUGAUGCGAGGGAGGCCUGAAUUUGGAAAUAAACAGUUUCAAGCACUGCA
This 1025-nucleotide long non-coding RNA is filed under the name Bos indicus x Bos taurus (hybrid cattle). RNAcentral describes it as "lncRNA (ENSBIXG00005010343.1)". The record is from RNAcentral. Lineage: Eukaryota; Metazoa; Chordata; Mammalia; Artiodactyla; Bovidae.